GAUGAAGAACGCAGCGAAAUGCGAUAAGUAAUGUGAAUUGCAGAAUUCAGUGAAUCAUCGAAUCUUUGAACGCACAUUGCGCCCCUUGGUAUUCCGAGGGGCAUGCCUGUUCGAGCGUCAUUAUAACCCCUCAAGCUCAGCUUGGUGUUGGGGCCUGCUGCACUGGCAGCCCUUAAAAUCAGUGGCGGCGCCGUCUGGCUCUAAGCGUAGUAAUUCUUCUCGCUAUGGAGUCCUGGUGGAUGCUUGCCAUCAACCCCCAAUUUUUCUAUGGUUGACCUCGGAUCAGGUAGGGAUACCCGCUGAACUUAAGCAUAUCAAUAAGCGGAGGA
Molecule: unclassified non-coding RNA, 329 nt
Filed under: soil metagenome
Description: partial contains 5.8S ribosomal RNA, internal transcribed spacer 2, and large subunit ribosomal RNA
Rfam family: 5.8S ribosomal RNA (bases 1-120)
Source: RNAcentral